GGGCCCGCACAAGCGGUGGAGUAUGUGGUUUAAUUCGAUGCAACGCGAAGAACCUUACCAGGGUUUGACAUCCUGCGAAUCUCUUGGAAACAGGAGAGUGCCUUCGGGAACGCAGUGACAGGUGGUGCAUGGCUGUCGUCAGCUCGUGUCGUGAGAUGUUGGGUUAAGUCCCGCAACGAGCGCAACCCACGUCUUUAGUUGCCAGCAUGUAAUGAUGGGAACUCUAACGGGACUGCCGGUGAUAAACCGGAGGAAGGUGUGGAUGACGUCAAGUCAUCAUGCCCCUUACAUCCUGGGCUACACACGUACUACAAUGCUACGGACAAAGGGCUGCAAGUUCGCGAGGACAAGCAAAUCCCAUAAACCGUGGCUCAGUUCAGAUCGUAGGCUGCAACUCGCCUACGUGAAGGCGGAAUCGCUAGUAAUCGCAGGU
RNAcentral lists this ribosomal RNA (433 nucleotides) under uncultured bacterium. RNAcentral describes it as "bacterial SSU rRNA". It matches the Rfam family "Bacterial small subunit ribosomal RNA", at positions 917 to 1349 of the family's 1533-position model. The record is from RNAcentral.